GACGAACGCUGGCGGCGUGCUUAACACAUGCAAGUCGAACGGAAAGGCCCUGCUUUUGUGGGGUGCUCGAGUGGCGAACGGGUGAGUAACACGUGAGUAACCUGCCCUUGACUUUGGGAUAACUUCAGGAAACUGGGGCUAAUACCGGAUAGGAGCUCCUGCUGCAUGGUGGGGGUUGGAAAGUUUCGGCGGUUGGGGAUGGACUCGCGGCUUAUCAGCUUGUUGGUGGGGUAGUGGCUUACCAAGGCUUUGACGGGUAGCCGGCCUGAGAGGGUGACCGGCCACAUUGGGACUGAGAUACGGCCCAGACUCCUACGGGAGGCAGCAGUGGGGAAUAUUGCACAAUGGGCGGAAGCCUGAUGAAGCAACGCCGCGUGCGGGAUGACGGCCUUCGGGUUGUAAACCGAUUUCGCCUGUGACGAAGCGUGAGUGACGGUAAUGGGUAAAGAAGCACCGGCUAACUACGUG
Molecule: ribosomal RNA, 468 nt
Filed under: uncultured bacterium
Lineage: Bacteria
Description: partial 16S ribosomal RNA
Rfam family: Bacterial small subunit ribosomal RNA
Source: RNAcentral